GCUGGGCAUGGUGGCGUAUGCCUGUAAUCCCAGCACUUUGGGAGGCUGAGGCGGGAGGAUCACCUGAGGUCAGGAGUUUGAGACUAGCCUGGCCAACAUGGUAAAACCCCGUCUCUA
RNAcentral lists this non-coding RNA (117 nucleotides) under Pan troglodytes (chimpanzee). Lineage: Eukaryota; Metazoa; Chordata; Mammalia; Primates; Hominidae. The record is from Rfam by way of RNAcentral.